UACGGAGGGUGCGAGCGUUGUCCGGAAUCACUGGGCGUAAAGGGCGCGUAGGCGGCCUGAUAAGUAGGGGGUGAAAUCCUGCGGCUUAACCGCAGGGCUGCCUUCUAAACUGUCAGGCUCGAGCACAGUAGAGGCAGGUGGAAUUCCCGGUGUAGCGGUGGAAUGCGUAGAGAUCGGGAAGAACAUCAGUGGCGAAGGCGGCCUGCUGGGCUGUUGCUGACGCUGAGGCGCGACAGCGUGGGGAGCAAACAGGG
This 254-nucleotide ribosomal RNA is filed under the name uncultured bacterium. RNAcentral describes it as "partial 16S ribosomal RNA". It matches the Rfam family "Bacterial small subunit ribosomal RNA", at positions 524 to 777 of the family's 1533-position model. The record is from RNAcentral.